This is a long non-coding RNA of Branchiostoma floridae (Florida lancelet), 562 nucleotides long. RefSeq lists it as uncharacterized. NCBI's taxonomy places the organism in Eukaryota, Metazoa, Chordata, Leptocardii, Amphioxiformes, Branchiostomatidae. The record is from RefSeq and is a predicted model, not a curated record. The transcript is spliced from 4 exons.
CGAUAUCAAACAAAAUUAACAGCAUUUCCUGUGAUGAUUCUUCCUAGAACCCAUUCGACCUGCUGAGAUCACCGGUGUGAUUUUCUACGGUUUAUCCAUCCUGGCCGCCAUUGUCCUCAUCGUUGGGGUGCUGAAGAAAAACUACGCCCUAUGUUUGGUUUGGAUCCUAUGGGCGAUUUUCCAUCUGCUCGUUGCGACAGCCUUGGCGAUAGCCUUACUGGUACAUGUGUCUGGCGGGGCAGUCAUCGAGGCAAUAACUCUUCAGACGGAGGGGACCACGCUGUCAGCGUCAUAUGGAACUGUCGUCUUGGUGGCUGCCGUUCUGGCGUUGGUCUUCUUUUUUGUGAUGAGCCCUUUCUUGAUGUACGGCAUCGUGGUUGUGUGCUCCUACUACCGGAAGAUCAGAGGUGAUGAUGCAUAUGCCUAGACCAACUCGACAACAACCAUCAGUUUCCAUCUAUAUAUGAUAAAUGCAAUCAUACAUAACGUUAGAAUCCGUACAAACAAACACGCAUGUCGAACUAGGAAAACACUGUAACAAGGCAGUCUGUUAUAUCAAUUG